GCCUUUCAUGCGGGAAUAGUGGUGAGUAUUCCCGCCUGUCACGCGGGUGACCCGAGUUCGAUCCCCGGCAACGGCG
Molecule: transfer RNA, 76 nt
Filed under: Thalictrum thalictroides
Lineage: Eukaryota; Viridiplantae; Streptophyta; Magnoliopsida; Ranunculales; Ranunculaceae
Description: tRNA-Asp
Source: RNAcentral